RNAcentral lists this ribosomal RNA (1677 nucleotides) under Salmonella enterica subsp. enterica serovar Agona. RNAcentral describes it as "partial 23S ribosomal RNA". It matches the Rfam family "Bacterial large subunit ribosomal RNA", at positions 1273 to 2925 of the family's 2925-position model. Lineage: Bacteria; Pseudomonadati; Pseudomonadota; Gammaproteobacteria; Enterobacterales; Enterobacteriaceae. The record is from RNAcentral.
CUGGAGGUAUCAGAAGUGCGAAUGCUGACAUAAGUAACGAUAAAGCGGGUGAAAAGCCCGCUCGCCGGAAGACCAAGGGUUCCUGUCCAACGUUAAUCGGGGCAGGGUGAGUCGACCCCUAAGGCGAGGCCGAAAGGCGUAGUCGAUGGGAAACGGGUUAAUAUUCCCGUACUUGGUGUUACUGCGAAGGGGGGACGGAGAAGGCUAUGUUGGCCGGGCGACGGUUGUCCCGGUUUAAGCGUGUAGGUGUGUGUUCCAGGUAAAUCCGGUUCACUUUAACACUGAGGCGUGACGACGAGGCACUACGGUGCUGAAGCAACAAAUGCCCUGCUUCCAGGAAAAGCCUCUAAGCAUCAGGUAACAUCAAAUCGUACCCCAAACCGACACAGGUGGUCAGGUAGAGAAUACCAAGGCGCUUGAGAGAACUCGGGUGAAGGAACUAGGCAAAAUGGUGCCGUAACUUCGGGAGAAGGCACGCUGACACGUAGGUGAAGUGAUUUACUCAUGGAGCUGAAGUCAGUCGAAGAUACCAGCUGGCUGCAACUGUUUAUUAAAAACACAGCACUGUGCAAACACGAAAGUGGACGUAUACGGUGUGACGCCUGCCCGGUGCCGGAAGGUUAAUUGAUGGGGUCAGCGCAAGCGAAGCUCCUGAACGAAGCCCCGGUAAACGGCGGCCGUAACUAUAACGGUCCUAAGGUAGCGAAAUUCCUUGUCGGGUAAGUUCCGACCUGCACGAAUGGCGUAAUGAUGGCCAGGCUGUCUCCACCCGAGACUCAGUGAAAUUGAACUCGCUGUGAAGAUGCAGUGUACCCGCGGCAAGACGGAAAGACCCCGUGAACCUUUACUAUAGCUUGACACUGAACAUUGAGCCUUGAUGUGUAGGAUAGGUGGGAGGCUUUGAAGUGUGGACGCCAGUCUGCAUGGAGCCGACCUUGAAAUACCACCCUUUAAUGUUUGAUGUUCUAACGUGGACCCGUAAUCCGGGUUGCGGACAGUGUCUGGUGGGUAGUUUGACUGGGGCGGUCUCCUCCUAAAGAGUAACGGAGGAGCACGAAGGUUGGCUAAUCCUGGUCGGACAUCAGGAGGUUAGUGCAAUGGCAUAAGCCAGCUUGACUGCGAGCGUGACGGCGCGAGCAGGUGCGAAAGCAGGUCAUAGUGAUCCGGUGGUUCUGAAUGGAAGGGCCAUCGCUCAACGGAUAAAAGGUACUCCGGGGAUAACAGGCUGAUACCGCCCAAGAGUUCAUAUCGACGGCGGUGUUUGGCACCUCGAUGUCGGCUCAUCACAUCCUGGGGCUGAAGUAGGUCCCAAGGGUAUGGCUGUUCGCCAUUUAAAGUGGUACGCGAGCUGGGUUUAGAACGUCGUGAGACAGUUCGGUCCCUAUCUGCCGUGGGCGCUGGAGAACUGAGGGGGGCUGCUCCUAGUACGAGAGGACCGGAGUGGACGCAUCACUGGUGUUCGGGUUGUCAUGCCAAUGGCACUGCCCGGUAGCUAAAUGCGGAAGAGAUAAGUGCUGAAAGCAUCUAAGCACGAAACUUGCCCCGAGAUGAGUUCUCCCUGAGACUUAGAGUCUCCUGAAGGAACGUUGAAGACGACGACGUUGAUAGGCCGGGUGUGUAAGCGCAGCGAUGCGUUGAGCUAACCGGUACUAAUGAACCGUGAGGCUUAACCUUACA